RNAcentral lists this ribosomal RNA (673 nucleotides) under Salmonella enterica subsp. enterica serovar Infantis. Its description in RNAcentral is "partial 23S ribosomal RNA". It matches the Rfam family "Bacterial large subunit ribosomal RNA", at positions 2160 to 2828 of the family's 2925-position model. Lineage: Bacteria; Pseudomonadati; Pseudomonadota; Gammaproteobacteria; Enterobacterales; Enterobacteriaceae. The record is from RNAcentral.
AAGCGUGGACGCCAGUCUGCGUGGAGCCGACCUUGAAAUACCACCCUUUAAUGUUUGAUGUUCUAACGUGGACCCGUAAUCCGGGUUGCGGACAGUGUCUGGUGGGUAGUUUGACUGGGGCGGUCUCCUCCUAAAGAGUAACGGAGGAGCACGAAGGUUGGCUAAUCCUGGUCGGACAUCAGGAGGUUAGUGCAAUGGCAUAAGCCAGCUUGACUGCGAGCGUGACGGCGCGAGCAGGUGCGAAAGCAGGUCAUAGUGAUCCGGUGGUUCUGAAUGGAAGGGCCAUCGCUCAACGGAUAAAAGGUACUCCGGGGAUAACAGGCUGAUACCGCCCAAGAGUUCAUAUCGACGGCGGUGUUUGGCACCUCGAUGUCGGCUCAUCACAUCCUGGGGCUGAAGUAGGUCCCAAGGGUAUGGCUGUUCGCCAUUUAAAGUGGUACGCGAGCUGGGUUUAGAACGUCGUGAGACAGUUCGGUCCCUAUCUGCCGUGGGCGCUGGAGAACUGAGGGGGGCUGCUCCUAGUACGAGAGGACCGGAGUGGACGCAUCACUGGUGUUCGGGUUGUCAUGCCAAUGGCACUGCCCGGUAGCUAAAUGCGGAAGAGAUAAGUGCUGAAAGCAUCUAAGCACGAAACUUGCCCCGAGAUGAGUUCUCCCUGAGACUUAGAGUCUCC